GACGAACGCUGGCGGCGUGCUUAACACAUGCAAGUCGAACGGAAAGGCCUCUUUCGGGGGGUACUCGAGUGGCGAACGGGUGAGUAACACGUGAGUAACCUGCCCUUGACUUUGGGAUAACUUCAGGAAACUGGGGCUAAUACCGGAUAGGAGCUCCUGCUGCAUGGUGGGGGUUGGAAAGUUUCGGCGGUUGGGGAUGGACUCGCGGCUUAUCAGCUUGUUGGUGGGGUAGUGGCUUACCAAGGCUUUGACGGGUAGCCGGCCUGAGAGGGUGACCGGCCACAUUGGGACUGAGGUACGGCCCAGACUCCUACGGGAGGGAGCAGUGGGGAAUAUUGCACAAUGGGUGGAAGCCUGAUGCAGCAACGCCGUGUGCGGGAUGACGGCCUUCGGGUUGUAAACCGCUUUCGCUCAUGACGAAGCUUUGUGUGACGGUAGUGGGUAAAGAAGCACCGGCUAACUACGUG
RNAcentral lists this ribosomal RNA (467 nucleotides) under uncultured bacterium. Its description in RNAcentral is "partial 16S ribosomal RNA". It matches the Rfam family "Bacterial small subunit ribosomal RNA", at positions 28 to 507 of the family's 1533-position model. The record is from RNAcentral.